AAAAACUGGUAGGGUUAGAUGUAGGACACGUGUCCAGAUCUAACGGUCGGGGUAGUGACCUUUGGGCUUCCUGCUCCUGUUGCCUAUAAAUACCCUCCCCUCAUUUCAUUUUUCACUUUUUACUCUCAGUAAACUUCUCUCGCUAAUCGUCGGGAUCGGACUUUGAGUUUUUAGACGUCGACUUUAAGGUAAGACCUCGAGUUUUUAAGUUAUUCUUUAGGUAUUUUUUACCUAGGUCAGGAUGUCUAGUAGUAGCAGUAGCGACACUUCGUCCUCAUCAUCCUCGAGGAGUACUCCCGAGGACAUAGGAUGCUCAAUCAUACCUAUGGCUGUCCCAAUUAAUGCCCAGCCUCGGGCAAAAAGUAUCCCGACCCCUUUUAGGUAUCCCGAGGUCCCCUGUUGCUCCUGUUGCCUAUAAAUACCCUCCCCUCAUUUCAUUUUUCACUUUUUACUCUCAGUAAACUUCUCUCGCUAAUCGUCGGGAUCGGACUUUGAGUUUUUAGGCGUCGACUUUAAGGUAAGACCUCGAGUUUUUAAGUUAUUCUUUAGGUAUUUUUUACCUAGGUCACGAUAUUUAGUAGUAGUAGUAGCGACACUUCGUCCUCAUCAUCCUCGAGGAGUACUCCCGAGGACAUAGGAUGCUCAAUCAUACCUAUGGCUGUCCCAAUUAAUGCCCAACCUCGGG
Molecule: long non-coding RNA, 685 nt
Filed under: Olea europaea (common olive)
Lineage: Eukaryota; Viridiplantae; Streptophyta; Magnoliopsida; Lamiales; Oleaceae
Description: long non-coding RNA (OEUR_LNC007435)
Source: RNAcentral